UCUCAUGCCAAAUCCACAGGUUCCCCUGAUGCAAGGGGAUAAUUGGGAAGUCCGGUGCAAAUCCGGCGCUGGCCCGCAACCGUGAGAGGGGACGAACACCGCAACAAGCCACUGUUGCCUGCAUUGGGGCAGACAAUGGGAAGGCGCGGCAACUAGGAUGAUCCUCGAGCCGGGAGACCAGCCUGUGGAAUGUGGUUUUU
Molecule: non-coding RNA, 200 nt
Filed under: Desulfoplanes formicivorans
Lineage: Bacteria; Pseudomonadati; Thermodesulfobacteriota; Desulfovibrionia; Desulfovibrionales; Desulfoplanaceae
Source: RNAcentral